Molecule: ribosomal RNA, 294 nt
Filed under: uncultured bacterium
Lineage: Bacteria
Description: partial 16S ribosomal RNA
Rfam family: Bacterial small subunit ribosomal RNA
Source: RNAcentral
GAACACUGGCGGCGUGUUCACACAUGCAAGUAGAACGAACCUUCGGGUUAGUGGCGGACGGGUGAGUAACGCUUGCCAAUCUGCCCUCAGGAGGGGGAUAACGGUUGGAAACGACCGCUAAUACCCCAUAUGCCGAGAGGUGAAAAGAAAUUCGCCUGAGGAUGAGCUCGCGUCUGAUUAGCUAGUUGGUGUGGUAAUGGCGCACCAAGGCUUCGAUCAGUAGCUGGUCUGAGAGGAUGAUCAGCCACACUGGGACUGAGACACGGCCCAGACUCCUACGGGAGGCAGCAGUGG